AUUGAACGCUGGCGGCAGGCCUAACACAUGCAAGUCGAGCGGAAACGAGUUAUCUGAACCUUCGGGGAACGAUAACGGCGUCGAGCGGCGGACGGGUGAGUAAUGCCUAGGAAAUUGCCCUGAUGUGGGGGAUAACCAUUGGAAACGAUGGCUAAUACCGCAUGAUGCCUACGGGCCAAAGAGGGGGACCUUCGGGCCUCUCGCGUCAGGAUAUGCCUAGGUGGGAUUAGCUAGUUGGUGAGGUAAGGGCUCACCAAGGCGACGAUCCCUAGCUGGUCUGAGAGGAUGAUCAGCCACACUGGAACUGAGACACGGUCCAGACUCCUACGGGAGGCAGCAGUGGGGAAUAUUGCACAAUGGGCGCAAGCCUGAUGCAGCCAUGCCGCGUGUGUGAAGAAGGCCUUCGGGUUGUAAAGCACUUUCAGUCGUGAGGAAGGUAGUGUAGUUAAUAGCUGCAUUAUUUGACGUUAGCGACAGAAGAAGCACCGGCUAACUCCGUGCCAGCAGCCGCGGUAAUACGGAGGGUGCGAGCGUUAAUCGGAAUUACUGGGCGUAAAGCGCAUGCAGGUGGUUUGUUAAGUCAGAUGUGAAAGCCCGGGGCUCAACCUCGGAAUAGCAUUUGAAACUGGCAGACUAGAGUACUGUAGAGGGGGGUAGAAUUUCAGGUGUAGCGGUGAAAUGCGUAGAGAUCUGAAGGAAUACCGGUGGCGAAGGCGGCCCCCUGGACAGAUACUGACACUCAGAUGCGAAAGCGUGGGGAGCAAACAGGAUUAGAUACCCUGGUAGUCCACGCCGUAAACGAUGUCUACUUGGAGGUUGUGGCCUUGAGCCGUGGCUUUCGGAGCUAACGCGUUAAGUAGACCGCCUGGGGAGUACGGUCGCAAGAUUAAAACUCAAAUGAAUUGACGGGGGCCCGCACAAGCGGUGGAGCHUGUGGUUUAAUUCGAUGCAACGCGAAGAACCUUACCUACUCUUGACAUCAGAGAACUUUCCAGAGAUGGAUUGGUGCCUUCGGGAACUCUGAGACAGGUGCUGCAUGGCUGUCGUCAGCUCGUGUUGUGAAAUGUUGGGUUAAGUCCCGCAACGAGCGCAACCCUUAUCCUUGUUUGCCAGCGAGUAAUGUCGGGAACUCCAGGGAGACUGCCGGUGAUAAACCGGAGGAAGGUGGGGACGACGUCAAGUCAUCAUGGCCCUUACGAGUAGGGCUACACACGUGCUACAAUGGCGCAUACAGAGGGCGGCCAACUUGCGAAAGUGAGCGAAUCCCAAAAAGUGCGUCGUAGUCCGGAUUGGAGUCUGCAACUCGACUCCAUGAAGUCGGAAUCGCUAGUAAUCGUGGAUCAGAAUGCCACGGUGAAUACGUUCCCGGGCCUUGUACACACCGCCCGUCACACCAUGGGAGUGGGCUGCAAAAGAAGUAGGUAGUUUAACCUUCGGGGGGACGCUUACCACUUUGUGGUUCAUGACUGGGGUG
RNAcentral lists this ribosomal RNA (1474 nucleotides) under Vibrio alginolyticus. Its description in RNAcentral is "bacterial SSU rRNA". It matches the Rfam family "Bacterial small subunit ribosomal RNA". Lineage: Bacteria; Pseudomonadati; Pseudomonadota; Gammaproteobacteria; Vibrionales; Vibrionaceae. The record is from RNAcentral.